AACGAACGCUCUCGGCAUGCCUAACACAUGCAAGUCGAACGAGACCUUCGGGUCUAGUGGCGCACGGGUGCGUAACGCGUGGGAACCUGCCCUUAGGUUCGGAAUAACUCCCCGAAAGGGGUGCUAAUACCGGAUAAUGUCUUCGGACCAAAGAUUUAUCGCCUUUGGAUGGGCCCGCGUUGGAUUAGCUAGUUGGUAGGGUAAAAGCCUACCAAGGCGACGAUCCAUAGCUGGUCUGAGAGGAUGAUCAGCCACACUGGGACUGAGACACGGCCCAGACUACUACGGGAGGCAGCAGUGGGUAAUAUUGGACAAUGGGCGAAAGCCUGAACCAGCAAUGCCGCGUGAGUGAUGAAGGCCUUAGGGUUGUAAAGCUCUUUUACCCGGGAUGAUAAUGACAGUACCGGGAGAAUAAGCUCCGGCUAACUCCGUG
RNAcentral lists this ribosomal RNA (433 nucleotides) under uncultured bacterium. RNAcentral's name for it is "partial 16S ribosomal RNA". It matches the Rfam family "Bacterial small subunit ribosomal RNA", at positions 29 to 507 of the family's 1533-position model. The record is from RNAcentral.